This 1084-nucleotide long non-coding RNA is filed under the name Ananas comosus (pineapple). Its description in RNAcentral is "long non-coding RNA (ACOM_LNC003070)". The record is from RNAcentral. Lineage: Eukaryota; Viridiplantae; Streptophyta; Magnoliopsida; Poales; Bromeliaceae.
CAACGAGACAUCUUCUCUAUCUCUUUAAUUUUUUUUUUUUUACUAUAUCUCUCUUUUUAUUUCUCUCUUCUUUUUCAUAUUAUAGUUCUCUUUUUUAGUUUUUUGGAUUCUAUUCUCAUAUGCUUUCAUUUUCUCUCUUUAAUCAGGGUCUUGAGAUCUCCAUACCUGUAGCGCCUUCCAUCCUCUACCCACAUGCAUGCAUGUACGUUUAUUUUCUCUCUCUUUUUUUAUUUAAUUAUUAAAGAUAAAAUACAUUAUUAUAGUGGUUUGAGUUUUUUGUUUUUAAGAAAUGAGGAAGAGAGAAAUAGUUUGAGAAAUAUAUUAUAGUAGGUUGAGUUUUUCGAACAAGAGAAAUGUUUUGAAAAAUCUUAUAUUGAUUAUAAUAUAUAAUCUACUUUAUUUACAGAAAAAUAAGCUAUAUCAUUUUAUCAACAAUUAUUAAUUUUCAUGGCCUUAUGCUGAUGUGGCCCAACCGUCUUAAUUUCUAGGUGUGCGUCCCACCGAUUUUUAUAAUUAUUUUUUAAAAUUUGACUAGAUUUUUUUCUCCAUUUGUUUUAGAAAGAUGGACAAUCAUAUCUUUAAUUUAGGGGUGUGUGUCCCACGGAAAAGGUGGAAGUUAUCUUUUUAAUUGAGGGGUGUGGGCCCCAGCAAGGAGAUGGAUUGUAUCUCUAUCUCUUCAUUUUUUUUUUUACUAUAACUCUCUUUUAAUUUCUCUAUUUUUCUUCAUAUUAUCGUUCUCUUUUUAUUUUUUUGGGUUUUGUUCUCACGUGCUUUCGUAUUCUCUCUUUGAUCAGGAUAUUGAGCUCUCCGCACUUGCAAUUCCUGCCAUCCUCACCAACUGUCCCUAGCGCAAGUGGCAAAGGGCACGGUGGUUGGUAUUCGAGGUCCCAAGUUUGAAUCCUAAUUGAUUCACAUUUCCAACUAAGUUUAUUUCUAACUAAAAAGAAAUAAACGAAGUAGGUAGCAUGCUACCUUUCUCUCAAAAAAAAAAAAAAAAAAACAUGCCAUCCUCUACCUACAUGCAUGUACGUUUAUUUUUUCUUACGUGCAUGUACAUUUAUUUUUUCUUUCUCUUUUUUAUUUU